Long non-coding RNA from Myotis davidii, 1136 nucleotides. RefSeq lists it as uncharacterized. Lineage: Eukaryota; Metazoa; Chordata; Mammalia; Chiroptera; Vespertilionidae. The transcript has 2 exons. The record is from RefSeq and is a predicted model, not a curated record.
CCCCCCGUGUCUGAGGAGCCGGCGGUGCUGCGCCCCGCGAUCCCGCUGCGGGGAGCGCCCUGGCACUUACCCCGCCCUGGCUUCCCGCCCGGCGAGAGCUCGCAGGUCGUCCAGCUUCAGGAUGGAUGGUGACCUUCCAAAAAAGUAAAAAGAUGGAAAAUCAUCAAAAUUACCAUAAACUACUGCCAACGGAAUGUUUCUUUGUAGCAUGUGCGGAGUGGAGGGAAAUCAUAUUCCUGCAUUAUAUAAUCUACCAACAGCCUACUUACCUACAGUCUUCUUAAUAUACAUUAUUCUUGAAAGCAGAGCCUGAGACCGAGGCAGACAUAUUCUAUUUGGGAAUGUAAUCCCAGGGAGCAGGAACGAGAGAGAGGAGUGAGAUGGGGGAAGGGGAGAGAAAAUUCAAGCAAAAUAAGGUAGUGUUAUCAAGUGUCCACCACUAUUAACAGUUUCUUAGUGAAGAACCUUCUCAGGAUUCUUACUAAAUUUUGUGUUGGAACUGUCUGCCUGAGGGUUGACAAAGAAAAGCAUUUCUCUCUCCGCACCCAUCUCCUGCAUGUUGAGAACUGCUCCCAUUGGUGUUAAUUCCCCAAGCCCUGUGGUUGCAAAGCUGGGAGAACCUCACUCAUUGCCACAUCAGAGAAGCCUUGAGACAGGAAGCCAGAUCCUUGGUCCAAGCUUGAGUGAGGCACUGUCAGCACAGAAUAGGGGGAAACCUGCCCAGACUGUUCACCAGAGUGGUAGCUGGAAUUGGAGGUUAAAGAGAUGUGAGACAGUGCACAGCAGAUAUCGUAUAAACGUACAGAUUGUGCUUUUAGCUGUGUCCAAAUCUAUUUUCUCUUUUCUAUAAUCAAAAUGUCAGUGUCCAGAACAAUUCUGGCAGAAGGGUUAAAUGAAAAGGUUAAAUGUGUUAGAAUAUGUACAUUAAUAACAGUUUUAACCUUGAGGGAUUUUUGUAGGAAAUAGAACACAAACAUGCGAAAUACAACAUGAGAACUUGGAAAAUAAAAAAUUAUAUAUAUUGUACUUGAAAAAUUAGACUAUUGAAUAGAGAUACUAGAUAUCUUCUAAACUCAUGUAAUCUCAGAAAACAAUCAUGACUUGUUUGGAGAAAUAAAAUGAACCUUUUGUGUGUC